Oryzias latipes (Japanese medaka) is the source of this 3654-nucleotide non-coding RNA. NCBI's taxonomy places the organism in Eukaryota, Metazoa, Chordata, Actinopteri, Beloniformes, Adrianichthyidae. The record is from RefSeq and is a predicted model, not a curated record.
CAGUUUCAUUCAACUAAACAUUCUGUGUCGUGUACAGAAAAAUAACAAUAAUCAUCAAUAAAAAUAAAUACAAACAGUGACCGAUGCGUCACAUGACCCAGGGUGUCCAUGACCACUUCCGGGUUACCGGGUUACUUCCGGGUAAACAAACCAACGUUAAUGUUGGCGUUGUGUGUGCUUCGUGUUAAUGUAUGCAUGGGGAUGGUGAGUCGGCAACCUAGUGUGCACCCAGGGCUACCUGCAGAGGGAUAGGGACGGAAUGAAAAGGGUAAGCUGAUGUAAAUGACGUGUUACCGGGUCCGAGCGUGCGCGUCUAUGCGCACGUGUGUGUGUGUGCGAGCGUGUGUGCAUGCGUGUGCGCCUGCAGCGGCAGCUGACGGUUCUACACCGUCACAUCAUCCCCCUCCUCUGGGAGAUUGGCGAUGUGCGGCAAUCUGGACAGGAAAUCUGCCACUAUGUUUUGUUUUCCGGGACGGUGACGUACGUUAAAUUUGUACGGCUGAAGCGCCAGAUACCAGCGCGUAAGCCGGCUGUGGUGGUCCUUCAUGGUAUUUAUCCAUGUCAGGGCCCUGUGGUCUGUCUCAAGGUCGAAUUCUCUGCCAAGUAAGUAGUACCUCAAGCUAUCCAACGCCCACUUAAUGGCAAGUCCUUCCUUCUCCACAGUGGAGUACCUUGUCUCUCUCGGCUGCAGUUUCCGACUGAGGUACAGGACUGGUCGCUCUUCACCUGGGUCUCCCUGAGCCAGGACAGCACCAAGUCCGACUGCUGAGGCAUCCACUUGGACGAGGAACCUUUGAUCAAAGUCACGGGGUUUUUCUGCCUCUUCUCUGUAAGGGCAGUGAGAGGAGCUGCAAUGGUGGCGAACUGAUGGACAAACCGCCGGUACCAUCCAGCUAACCCCAGGAAGGAGCGUACCUCUUUCUUGGUGCGUGGUCGAGGGCAAUUGCGGAUAACUUCAACUUUAUCCACCUGCGGACGCACCUCACCACCUCCCAGCAGGUACCCCAGGUAACGAGUUUCCUUCCGGGCCCACUCACACUUGCUCACGUUUAAGGUCAGGCCUGCAUUUUGUAGUUUCCUCAGGACCAGACGCAGGUGAUCUAGGUGUUGCUCCCAGGUGUGACUGUAGAUCACCACGUCAUCCAAAUAGGCUGCACUACAGUGGUUACAUCCCUGCAGCACCCUGUCCAUCAGCCGUUGGAACGUGGCUGGUGCUCCAUGCAGACCAAAAGGCAUAACUGUAAACUGAAACAGUCCAGCAGGUGUUUUGAACGCCGUGUAUGGUCGACAGGUGUUGCUGAGAGGUACUUGCCAGUAACCCUUGCAUAGGUCAAGAGUGGUGAUGAAAUUAGCAGCCCCGAUCUUCUCCAGCAGGUCGUCAAUCCUCGGCAUUGGAUAUGCGUCGAACUCCGAAACGGCGUUCAGUUUCCUGAAGUCGAUGCAUAUCCGCAGUGAGUCGUCUUUUUUGGGAACGAUCACCACCGGACUGCUCCACUCUGAGUUGGACGGCUCGAUGACACCUAGCUCCAGCAUCUUCCUCACCUCAUCGUUCAGCCUUCCCACCAACUUCUGUGGUACCCGAUAAGGCCGUUGCCGGAUUGGUCGUCCAUCUUUGAGCCGUAUGGAAUGGCUAAUGAGUGUAGUUCUUCCUGGCUGUGCAGAAAAAAGAGAUGGCGUUUCACGAAAUAAGUCCAUUAUCUGUGUAGUCUGUUCCGGAGGUAAAUGUGACAGAGACGGAGGGGUUGAGUGAGUCAGUGCUCCCAGAUCAGAGUCCAAGUCUUCCUCAGUCUUCACAGCCCUGACUAGCAAAGACUUCUCUGUUGGAUGGUUAGCACCUUCCUUCCACUCUUUAAGUAGAUUCACGUGGUAUGUCUGCUUUUCUUUCUUUUUGUCAGGAUGGUGCACCUCAUAGGUGACAGGUCCCAUCCUGCGGAGAAUGGUGUAUGGCCCUUGCCACUUUGCCAGUAGUUUGCUGGUACAAGAGGGAAGAAGUAGCAGAACCUUCUGACCUGGACAAACUGGAUCACACCCCUUUCUGAGGUCUUUGUGGAUUUGGCCUCCCAGCUCUUCUUGAGGAGAUCCAGUGGGCCUUGGACAUCCCAGCCAUAGAGGAGUUCGAAUGCAUCCUCUUCAGGGUCUGGUUGAAACGUUCCACCAAGCCAUUGGUCUGUGGGUGGUACGGUGUCGCCUUGAUGGCAGUGAUGCCAAGCUGCUGUUGGAACAGUUUCAUCAACCGAGAGGAGCUGUAAUGGUGCGCAGGGGAAAAGCUUCUGGGAACCGUGUAGCAUAAUCACAGACCACCAGGAUGUAUUCGUGACCGCUACCGCUCUUAGGUAAAGGUCCAACAAUGUCCAUGGCUAUUCUCCUGAAUGGAGUGGAAAUUAUAGGAAGUGGGUGUAGUAAUGCUCUGUCAGACUUGUGUGUUAUUGCAGUUUUCUGGCAGGUAGGACAUGUUGCACAGUACGUCUGAAUGUCAGUGUACAUUGAUGGCCAGAAAAAACGUGAACUAACCCGCAGAUAGGUUUUGUGACGACCCAGGUGACCCGCCCAUGGGAGUGUGUGCGCUAAGUGCAUGACGAGUGGCCUGCAGGUGGUUGGAAGAACUAACCGUCUCAGUGGAGCGGUUUGAAUGGGAAGACGCUGAUCCCCACCCGACGGCCGUGCAGACGCUCCUCGUCGAGCGUUGAGAUACUGCAGCGCAAGCCGGGCAGCGGUGAGGCCAUCCUCCGGGUCGUGCUCCUUCACCCACGUCCUCACGUCAGCUGGAAGCACACGCAGCAGCUGCUCCAGGAUGACGAUCUCCCCGAUCUGCUCCUUGCUGUGUUGCUCUGGGCGGAUCCAGCGACGGUAGAGGCCCUUCAGGCGGUGGUAUGUCUCAGUCGGAUUCUCCCCAGAUGGCACCACAGUAGACCGGAACUGCUGACGGUAAGUCUCUGGCGAGAUGUCAAAUUUUACCAGGAGUGCGUCUUUCAGGUCCUUGUAGAUGUGGGCUUGCUGCUCGUCCAUUGCUGUGUAGGCCUCCAACGCCUUUCCGGACAGCAGUGGCACCAGGCGACAUGCCCACUCAGUCUCUGGCCAUCUCCACGUCCUGGCAAUCCGUUCAAAACGUAGCAGCUGGAGUCCUCCUGUGCCACUGGAUGCCGUCGACGGGACGUUGCAGCUGGUGGUGGCAGAUCCAACCUUGGGCUACUCACUGCGGCUGAGCUUGGUCCAGCGGCUUUGGGACUGAUGUUACGCCGCCGACCAGAAUGGUGCUCUGCCCUGGAAAAAGAGGCUUCCAAACCUUGGAGGGCAGCGAUGAAUCUGUCCUCCCGCUGCUGCUGUCCGCGGAGGAAGUCUCCCAUCAUAGCCGCCAAGUCACCUUCUGGGCCUUUGGUCAGGCCUGGAGAACCACCAGAGGCACCAGGAUCUACCACCUCCUCCUCAGAGGAUGAAUUGGACAACAGAGGGACUGCAUCCGAUGUUGGUUCCAUCUCCUCCUUCUGGGAACGCAGACCUCUGUGUCUCACCUUUUUGCGGCCAGCCAUCUGCUUAUCCCACUUCUGACACCAACUGUCGUGGGUCCCACCAGGGAAUGAUUGGGCAGAGGCGCCAAGGUGAAAGUAUUCUUGACUUUAAUGCAAGAACAGAGCACACCAAUUGCUCCACAAAGGU